This 28-nucleotide non-coding RNA is filed under the name Rattus norvegicus (Norway rat). Lineage: Eukaryota; Metazoa; Chordata; Mammalia; Rodentia; Muridae. The record is from RNAcentral.
UUUCAGAACAUCGGGAUGUCUCAGAAAC